AAUAUUGCACAAUGGAGGAAACUCUGAUGCAGCGACGCCGCGUGAGCGAUGAAGGCUNNNGAGUCNUAAAGCUCUGUCCUAUGNGAANAUAAUGACGGUACCCUAGGAGGAAGCCCCGGCUAACUCCGUGCCAGCAGCCGCGGUAAUACGUAGGGGGCGAGCGUUGUCCGGAAUUAUUGGGCGUAAAGGGUUCGCAGGUGGCCUUUUAAGUCAGAUGUAAAAGCCCACGGCUCAACCGUGGUAAGCAUUUGAAACUGGAAGGCUUGAGUUAAGGAGAGGAAAGUGGAAUUCCUAGUGUAGCGGUGAAAUGCGUAGAUAUUAGGAGGAAUACCAGUGGCGAAGGCGACUUUCUGGACUUAUACUGACACUGAGGAACGAAAGCGUGGGGAGCAAACA
This 396-nucleotide ribosomal RNA is filed under the name uncultured bacterium. Its description in RNAcentral is "partial 16S ribosomal RNA". It matches the Rfam family "Bacterial small subunit ribosomal RNA", at positions 360 to 774 of the family's 1533-position model. The record is from RNAcentral.